Molecule: ribosomal RNA, 429 nt
Filed under: Bacteroidota bacterium
Lineage: Bacteria; Pseudomonadati; Bacteroidota
Description: Bacteroidetes bacterium partial 16S ribosomal RNA
Rfam family: Bacterial small subunit ribosomal RNA
Source: RNAcentral
UAGGGAAUCUUCCGCAAUGGACGCAAGUCUGACGGAGCAACGCCGCGUGAGUGAAGAAGGAUUUCGGUUCGUAAAACUCUGUUGUUAGAGAAGAACAGCGCAUAGAGUAACUGUUAUGCGUGUGACGGUAUCUAACCAGAAAGCCACGGCUAACUACGUGCCAGCAGCCGCGGUAAUACGUAGGUGGCAAGCGUUGUCCGGAUUUAUUGGGCGUAAAGCGAGCGCAGGCGGUCAAUUAAGUCUGAUGUGAAAGCCCCCGGCUCAACCGGGGAGGGUCAUUGGAAACUGGUUGACUUGAGUGCAGAAGAGGGGAGUGGAAUUCCAUGUGUAGCGGUGAAAUGCGUAGAUAUAUGGAGGAACGCCAGUGGCGAAGGCGACUCUCUGGUCUGUAACUGACGCUGAGGCUCGAAAGCGUGGGUAGCAAACAGG